RNAcentral lists this transfer RNA (72 nucleotides) under Stegodyphus mimosarum. It matches the Rfam family "tRNA". From Rfam's summary of the family: Transfer RNA (tRNA) molecules are approximately 80 nucleotides in length. The record is from Rfam by way of RNAcentral. Lineage: Eukaryota; Metazoa; Arthropoda; Arachnida; Araneae; Eresidae.
GCCUUCCUAGUGUAACGGUUAGCACACUCGGCGCGUAUUCUAGAGGUCCUGGUUCGAGUCCCGGCGAGGGCA